This 212-nucleotide ribosomal RNA is filed under the name uncultured bacterium. RNAcentral describes it as "partial 16S ribosomal RNA". It matches the Rfam family "Bacterial small subunit ribosomal RNA", at positions 1289 to 1500 of the family's 1533-position model. The record is from RNAcentral.
CAGUUCGGACUGUAGUCUGCAACCCGACUACACGAAGCUGGAAUCGCUAGUAAUCGCGAAUCAGAAUGUCGCGGUGAAUACGUUCCCGGGUCUUGUACACACCGCCCGUCACACCAUGGGAGUCGGGAAUGCCCGAAGUCAGUGACCCAACCAUAUGGAGGGAGCUGCCGAAGGCAGGUCUGAUAACUGGGGUGAAGUCGUAACAAGGUAAC